AAACGUAGAGCCAUUCGAGUGGAAAGAGGCCAGAGUACAAUUUUUAUGGCCAUACUACACCAGGUCUAAAGAUACAGGGUUGGAACUCUGGAGAUCUUGAUACCUACUGUGGAGAUUAACACACAUGGACGUUGAAUGAGCUAAGUAACAUUUGAAUGUUCAUUGUGGAGUUUCUGGGAGAGGAAAGUGUAGAAGUAGUGGCAGAAUUCUGGCUCUAUGAGGAAAAGAAGCAAAGGUUUUGCUACUGGCCGCCAAACAAUCAAUCCAGCAGAGCCAAGAAAAG
Esox lucius (northern pike) is the source of this 283-nucleotide long non-coding RNA. RefSeq lists it as uncharacterized. Lineage: Eukaryota; Metazoa; Chordata; Actinopteri; Esociformes; Esocidae. The record is from RefSeq and is a predicted model, not a curated record. The transcript has 3 exons.